UUAAAUUGAAGAGUUUGAUCAUGGCUCAGAUUGAACGCUGGCGGCAGGCCUAACACAUGCAAGUCGAACGGUAACAGGAAACAGCUUGCUGUUUCGCUGACGAGUGGCGGACGGGUGAGUAAUGUCUGGGAAACUGCCUGAUGGAGGGGGAUAACUACUGGAAACGGUAGCUAAUACCGCAUAACGUCGCAAGACCAAAGAGGGGGACCCUCGGGCCUCUUGCCAUCGGAUGUGCCCAGAUGGGAUUAGCUUGUUGGUGGGGUAACGGCUCACCAAGGCGACGAUCCCUAGCUGGUCUGAGAGGAUGACCAGCCACACUGGAACUGAGACACGGUCCAGACUCCUACGGGAGGCAGCAGUGGGGAAUAUUGCACAAUGGGCGCAAGCCUGAUGCAGCCAUGCCGCGUGUAUGAAGAAGGCCUUCGGGUUGUAAAGUACUUUCAGCGGGGAGGAAGGGAGUAAAGUUAAUACCUUUGCUCAUUGAC
RNAcentral lists this ribosomal RNA (485 nucleotides) under Escherichia coli. RNAcentral describes it as "bacterial SSU rRNA". It matches the Rfam family "Bacterial small subunit ribosomal RNA", at positions 1 to 473 of the family's 1533-position model. The record is from RNAcentral. Lineage: Bacteria; Pseudomonadati; Pseudomonadota; Gammaproteobacteria; Enterobacterales; Enterobacteriaceae.